Non-coding RNA from Caenorhabditis elegans, 21 nucleotides. The record is from Ensembl. NCBI's taxonomy places the organism in Eukaryota, Metazoa, Nematoda, Chromadorea, Rhabditida, Rhabditidae.
UGUUGCAACUGUUUUCAAGGG